GGGGCUGUGGCUCAGUGGCAGAACAUCUGCUUUGCAUGCAGAGAGUCUCUGGUUCAAUCCCUAGCAUCUUCA
Non-coding RNA from Podarcis lilfordi (Lilford's wall lizard), 72 nucleotides. Lineage: Eukaryota; Metazoa; Chordata; Lepidosauria; Squamata; Lacertidae. The record is from the annotation of a GenBank genome assembly.